GAAACUGAGAAGCUGCUGAGGAU
RNAcentral lists this small nuclear RNA (23 nucleotides) under Arabidopsis thaliana (thale cress). RNAcentral's name for it is "snRNA_11927". The record is from RNAcentral. Lineage: Eukaryota; Viridiplantae; Streptophyta; Magnoliopsida; Brassicales; Brassicaceae.